Molecule: ribosomal RNA, 252 nt
Filed under: uncultured bacterium
Lineage: Bacteria
Description: partial 16S ribosomal RNA
Rfam family: Bacterial small subunit ribosomal RNA
Source: RNAcentral
UACGGAGGGUGCGAGCGUUGUCCGGAAUCACUGGGCGUAAAGGGCGCGUAGGCGGCUCGGUAAGCGUGUGGUGAAAGCCUGGGGCUCAACCCCGAGUCGGCCGUGCGAACUGCUGGGCUGGAGCACUGUAGAGGCAGGCGGAAUUCCGGGUGUAGCGGUGGAAUGCGUAGAGAUCCGGAAGAACACCGGUGGCGAGGAGAGCUGCCUGGCCUGACACUGCGCUGAGGUGCGAAAGCGUGGGGAGCGAUCCGG